AUGCAUACUUGGUUGCAAGUGUCGAGGGAUCCAUCCGUUGGAGGUGAUCAAAGUAGAGAUGCUUAUUGGGGGAGGAUGAAAGAACACUAUGAUGUUCACAACGUGAGUGGAAUUUACCGCUCCGGGAGAUCACUUCGGUCCCGGUGGUCGACAAUCAACUCGGAUUGUCAAAGGUGGGCGGCCUGUCAAAAGGCGGUUGACAAGUUGAACCCAAGUGGCCCAAAUGAGGACGAUAGAGUAAGUGAAGAGGAGAGGAAAACCAAGAAGGGGAAGAUCAAGAAAGGAAGGGUCUUUACCUUGCCUCAUUGCUAUAACGUGUUGAAGGAUGAUGAGAAAUGGAAGAAGCGUGAAGAUUUGGAUUGA
This 363-nucleotide ribosomal RNA is filed under the name Triticum aestivum (bread wheat). RNAcentral's name for it is "partial small subunit ribosomal RNA". The record is from RNAcentral. Lineage: Eukaryota; Viridiplantae; Streptophyta; Magnoliopsida; Poales; Poaceae.